GACGUAGGGGGCGAGCGUUAUCCGGAUUCACUGGGCGUAAAGGGCGCGCAGGCGGCUACGUAAGUCCGGCGUGAAAUCCCACGGCUCAACUGUGGAAUUGCGUCGGAUACUGCGUUGGCUUGAGGACGGUAGAGGCUUCUGGAACUAGCGGUGUAGCGGUGAAAUGCGCAGAUAUCGCUAGGAACGCCGGUGGCGAAGGCGGGAGGCUGGGCCGAUCCUGACGCUGAGGCGCGAAAGCUAGGGGAGCGAACCGG
This 254-nucleotide ribosomal RNA is filed under the name uncultured bacterium. RNAcentral's name for it is "partial 16S ribosomal RNA". It matches the Rfam family "Bacterial small subunit ribosomal RNA", at positions 524 to 776 of the family's 1533-position model. The record is from RNAcentral.